This 253-nucleotide ribosomal RNA is filed under the name uncultured bacterium. Its description in RNAcentral is "partial 16S ribosomal RNA". It matches the Rfam family "Bacterial small subunit ribosomal RNA", at positions 524 to 776 of the family's 1533-position model. The record is from RNAcentral.
UACGAGAGGUCCAAACGUUAUUCGGAAUUACUGGGCUUAAAGAGUUCGUAGGCGGCGCAGAAAGUAGGGUGUGAAAGCCCUCGGCUCAACCGAGGAAUUGCGCUCUAAACUACUGUGCUUGAGGAAUCUAGAGGUGAGCGGAACUGAUGGUGGAGCGGUGAAAUGCGUUGAUAUCAUCAGGAACACCGGAGGCGAAGGCGGCUCACUGGGGAUUUUCUGACGCUGAGGAACGAAAGCCAGGGGAGCGAACGGG